GAUGAACGCUAGCGGCAGGCCUAAUACAUGCAAGUCGGACGGGAUUCAGGAGCUUGCUUCUGAUGAGAGUGGCGCACGGGUGCGUAACACGUAUGUAACCUACCUUUAUCAGGGGGAUAGCCUCUCGAAAGAGAGAUUAAGCCCGCAUAAAAUCACAGCACAGCAUUGUGUAAUGAUCAAAUAUUUAUAGGAUAAAGAUGGGCAUGCGGAACAUUAGCUAGAUGGCGGGUUAACGGCCCACCAUGGCGACGAUGUUUAGGGGAUCUGAGAGGAUGGCCCCCCACACUGGUACUGAGACACGGACCAGACUCCUACGGGAGGCAGCAGUAAGGAAUAUUGGUCAAUGGGCGGAAGCCUGAACCAGCCAUGCCGCGUGCAGGAAGACGGCCCUACGGGUUGUAAACUGCUUUUAUACGGGAAUAAACCCAGAUACGUGUAUCUGGCUGAAUGUACUGUAAGAAUAAGGAUCGGCUAACUCCGUG
This 482-nucleotide ribosomal RNA is filed under the name uncultured bacterium. Its description in RNAcentral is "partial 16S ribosomal RNA". It matches the Rfam family "Bacterial small subunit ribosomal RNA", at positions 28 to 507 of the family's 1533-position model. The record is from RNAcentral.